This is a non-coding RNA of Cordylochernes scorpioides, 115 nucleotides long. The record is from the annotation of a GenBank genome assembly. NCBI's taxonomy places the organism in Eukaryota, Metazoa, Arthropoda, Arachnida, Pseudoscorpiones, Chernetidae.
ACGCCCAUACCACAUUGAAAACACCGGUUCUCGUGCGAUCACCGAAGUUAAGCAAUGUCGUUCCUGGUCAGUACUUGGGAGGGUGACCACCUUGGAACACUAGGUGUUAUAGGCU